Molecule: ribosomal RNA, 441 nt
Filed under: uncultured bacterium
Lineage: Bacteria
Description: bacterial SSU rRNA
Rfam family: Bacterial small subunit ribosomal RNA
Source: RNAcentral
AUACGGGAGGCAGCAGUUCAGAAUCUUGCGCAAUGGGCGAAAGCCUGACGCAGCGAUGCCGCGUGAGCGAUGAAGGCCUUCGGGUCGUAAAGCUCUGUCAGAGGGAACGAUUAUGACGGUACCCUCAGAGGAAGCCACGGCUAAUUACGUGCCAGCAGCCGCGGUAAUACGUAAGUGGCGAGCGUUAUCCGGAAUCACUGGGCGUAAAGCGUUCGUAGGCGGCGCGGAUAGUUGGAUUUGAAAGCCCGGGGCUUAACUCCGGAUCCGGAUCCAAAACUCCCGUGCUUGAGCAUAUCAGAGGGCAGUGGAAUUCCCGGUGUAGCGGUAAUAUGCGUAGAUAUCGGGAGGAACACCAGCGGCGAAGGCGGCUGCCUGGGGUAUUGCUGACGCUGAGGAACGAAAGCCAGGGGAGCAAACGGGAUUAGAUACCCCCGUAGUCCC